UGCCCUCCCUCCCAGCGCCAAGCUGGGGAGCAGAACAGCCCAGCGAGCGGCUCCGUGACCCGAAGGGAUCUGCCGUGUGCUUGCCCUGCGCCGGAGCCAAGGGCGAGGAAGCAGCCGCAGCCCACGGGGCUGCUCUUGGGAUGGAGCCGAGCAUCCGCUGGGAAGGAGCCCCUGAGCACGGCACGGAUGGAUGAGGAUGGCAGUUGCCACUCUGCCACGUGUGCAAGGACGCUGCAGAAGUUUUGAAGAAAGGACUUCUGGGGCAGCCUUGAGGCGGCUAUGGAUACAACCACUGCCAGGUCUGCUGCGGCCAGACAGCUGGCCAUGAGGUCAGACUAGUGCUGGGACAAGCCACCGGGACGAGAGGAGCAGAAAGAUGGGAAACAUCUGUGACCCUCCUCCUAUUUUCUAGCCUCAGAUGGUGAACUAGAUUCAGGCAUGUGGGGCUGUGCAAUAUUCCACUCUUUGAGGGAUUAGGACGAGGCAGGGAAUGUGGAGGGAAGCCAUCAGCCCUGGGAGAUAAGGAUGCUGAAGCUAUCAGGUUGCCAGCAGGCCCCAAGUGCACAGUGGUUUCCAGGUUUCAGGAUAAUCUUUGCUCUGGUUUGGUUUGCUUUUCCAGCCACUUUCUUUGCAGAUGAGUUCUUUUGGAUUUGUGCUGCCAGUCCCCACAAAUUUCUCCCUCCCUCCCUCCCUUCUCUGGAAUGAAGCAGGACAGGACCCAGGGCUCCUUUAUUUUCCUGCCCACUCCUCUCUUUAACACCUCCUCACUAAAUCCACUGGAUUUGGCACUUACCUUGUCUCCAGCAGACUGCAAGGGGCAAAACUUUGCUUUCAGCAUACCUGGGAGUCAUUCAGUGACACCACAGGGAUGCAGCUGCUGGGGUUCUCUGCAGUGGAGACUCAUUGUCUCUUAGAUAUGCCAGGUCAUCAGAACACUUUCUGACGAUGCCAUUUUUGGUAGAUGGCCCAAAGAAAAAUUGGCUGCUCUCUAGAGUGACAGCUAGAUUGCAGCCUGACAUGAAUGAAAAGCAUAGCAAGAUGGAACAGAUUUUUGCUCCAAGCCUUCUCUGCUGAUGUGUUAACUUUGGCAGCAUCAUUUGGAGAAAAAAGUGAAUUAAUCUUAUUGGAGUUGUGUACAAAAGAGACUGUGGGAAGGAACGGGGGGGGGGGGGGGAAGGGAUGUGUGAAUCUAUGUUGAUUAUUUUGAAGCCAUAAACAAGUGGCAUCAGAAAAGAUUUUGACAACCAUAUGGACUUUCAGAAGUGUGAAAUCUUCUGAAAAUGAUGUGCAAUCAUGUAAGGGUUGGCAUAAAAGAAAAGAAGACAAGAUAUGGAUUGAUGAGAUGUACAGACAGAGACUGCAAUCUGUGAUACAGGAGUUAAGAUUCUGGGUACAUGAAAAAAAUGGUACCUAGAAAAAGACUUUUUAUAUAAAUUAAAUCAAAUUAAAUUAAGUUACAUAAGAGAAUGCUCUCAAAGAUAAUAGAAAUAACAGUCAAUUCUAUUUCUUAUUGCCGGUUUUCAGAACUAGACUCUGGGGAACAGCAGUCUCAGGAUUGAGCAACAGCUUUCCACUGAAAUAAUAAUUGUUUUUCUGGGAAGCUUCACUGGAGAUGCCACAUGCAAUCUGGAUUUUACACAGUGCAAAAACCACAAGAGUGCAGGUCCUGCUGAGGGGCAUCAGCUGCUGUGUUGGCUGAUGUCUGGAACUGCCAUGGCAGUGCAAGGUAUCUCCCCUGAUGUUCUCCAAGGGGACAAUUUUAUCCCAGAGCUUGGAAGUGCUGUCUGAGAGGCAAGUAGGAUGACAAGAAAGAAGCUUAGCAAAUUUUGUACCUUUGGUGUAGCAUGUUUCCACACAAGCUGUAUGUGCACGUGGCAGGGACAUCCCCAUGGGCCACGUGAGGGUGCGAGAUGUGACACACACCAGAGGAGGUAAGUGCUGCUCUGCUGCCCUGGGGAAGCAACUCAUCAGAUCUGGGCAAGGGCCACCAUGCUGUCUGAGAUCUCACCACCUGCUAGGAGACCAGAAACUUGAGAGGUCUGGGCUCUCUCUGGGGACUAAGUUUAAAUGCCAGCACUCUGAGCCUUUUUACAACCUGACUGUUUGAUUCCUUUCCUCUUUAAGGUAUCACAUGCACAAUAAUAUGGGACAUAAAUUGCAGCAAAAUACUUUUCAGGUUUGAUUUAUAAAUGGUUCUGAUUUGCUUCUGAUUUCAGCUUCCCCUGUGGCAGCGUUCCAGGUCCAGAUUAAGGUUUGUAUUUCUUGUCUUGUCGCAUCACGAGAGAAUGGGAAAAGCAGAUGGAAGGUGAAAAACUGGGAAUGGAAAACAAACCAGCUAUGCCAUCUUAAAGAAGCAGAAGAAAGUAGGCUGAACUCUAACAUAAGAAAAUAUUUUUCAUGGGAAAACACAGAUCAGGGCAAGAGUUGACUUUUAUGUAUAAAUAGGGGUGUAUGAUAGGAUGAAAUAGAUAUUAAAUUAAUCUGUUUGCGUAAUUUGAACAUUGAAAAAGUCCAGCAUCUGUGCACUGUAUAUCAUGUACACUAUCCCAUAGUCUGAUACUUUGAGUCCUCUUCCCAUUCUGCAAUAUUUCCAUUAGACCUCAAUCUUUAAGAAGUCAGUACACACACAAAAAUGUUCAGACACAUCUUAGAUUUUUUGAUAUAUGUCUUCUAAGCAUACCCUUCCUUUCCUUCCCUUUGCCUUUCACCGUACAAGCCUUUGUUGUUUGGUGACAUUAGCACAGUCACCAGUAAAUUUAGUGCCUCAUAAUCUCUUUCCACCACUGAAGAUGGUACUUGGAGUUAGUCCUAAGAGGUUCCAGCAAGGAAGUGCCACUUAAGAGAAUGUGAUGAACUGUGUAGAGGAACUUUAUUUUGCUAUUUGAAAAGAAAACUGAGGAUACUUUAAGAUUCCAUGAUCUGCAUUUUCAGACUAGACUCUGGAGUGACAAGCCAAAAGAAAAGCAUAUCAAGACCCCUCCCCCCACUUAUUCUUUAUUUAAUGAGGUAUGGGGUUUAACUGAGGAAUUUAAAUGAUUGACUGAGAAGUAUUUGAAAUUCUUGAGGGUCAUAAGGAUCAAGGCAAAUGGAUCAAUCAAAAAUAAUUACUUUUGACACUGUGACAACAGCUAGCGCUUUCUUUUUUCCCUCAAAUAAUCUAUGAAUAUUUUUUCUCUUCUUGAAAUGCUGAAGUAAAGAGUCUUAUUUUCCAAGGAACUGCAACAUUAAAUGUCCUCAUAUUUGACAAAAGCACUUAAAGAAGCUAUAGCUGUUUUAUUUCUAAAAGGAAGGAAACAUUGAAAAAGAAAAAUUUCUUAAUUCAGGAUCCAUUCAUUCAUUCAUUAACUGGUCCUUUGACACUUUUUCCUAAUUAAUAGUGUUGUUAUGAGACCAAGCAGCAACAAGUAGACAUUAAGCAUGGAGGGGGAAAAGCACUGAGAAAUAAAUGUUUUACAUUUAAUUACAACUGUCAUACAGAGAUCAUAAGUGCUCUGCCACAUCUCAAGCAGAAUCAGUGCAUUGUUGUGCCUUUGAAGAAGCAACUUUCACCAGACCAAUUCACUUUUUAACACUUUUUCUUCUCUAUUGUCAUAGUGUAGUGUGUGUGUGAAACAAGAUAGUUUAACAGUUUAAUUUUGUUUUAUUCCAGAAAACAGACAUACUGUUUCCAAACAUACAACCUCAGGGGCUGGGAAUAUGACAGUGCUGGGGGCCCCAGCGUGAAAAGCAACUCUGGACAAAAGUGCACAGAGAACAACUCUAAAUGAAAGAUCAGCAGCCAUCCUGUAGUGAAUGGCACAUGCCUCCUGUGUGGCUUCACACAAGACCCCCAGCCAUGCAGUGUUCCAGUCCCAAGGAAAAAAUUGAGAAUAACCUUGUGUCACCAAGCAUAGCUCUAAUAUAGUCCCACUUACUAUGGAGAAACAUAAACAAAACAAUCUUAUUUUAUUAGAUGCCUAUUCCAGCCAACUUCUGUUUAAAGCAGUGCUUUUUUUCUGUAGGAAUUGGCUCUGUAUUACAGCCCUGAAAGCUCAGCUUGAAGUCAGCUCUCUUUUCCUGCCUGUUUUCAGCUGCAUCAGAAAGAGCUAAUGGCUGGAUACCAGGCAGACUGCACACUGAUACAAGAGAGUUCAGCUUCCCAAAAUUACUGCCUCUCUGGGGAAUAUUUUAACUCUCUUGAUCUCCAAGGACUACCAUGCCUCAGAGACGAAUGCAUCAGAAUUGAGGGGGAAAAGAGAAGAAUUAGCUUGGAAAGCAAACAAACUAUCCUGGAAACCAACACUUGUUCAUGUGAGUACAUGCUUGCCUACUCCCAUGGCCUGAGCUGGCUUUUGGCUCUACUCUCUGGAGCAGUCUGAACAAAGGUAAACCCUAAGCAGUGAAUCCCACUACACUCAGAGGACUGCAGGUGCCCUGAUCACCACUUUAACUAAAGAAAUUCUGUGUAGCUCCUUUGAGAAUUUGCCUUGCGUUAGCUAAGUCAGGAUCAGCAAGUUAACUUUUCACGAUUCCAUUUCUGGGACAUUCUACUCCCCUGACUUUUGGUCUGCUAUUUUCUUGUUCUUGACAUCUGUAUGAACAUUUGCAACAAUACAGAAUAAAAAAUUCAAUUUUAAAGUCGUUUCCCUGAGCUGUAAGGGUGAUCCUGUCAGCCUGCCUUGAUCUAAUGCAUAUAAGGCCUGGGUGACCAUCACAAAUAUGACAACAUUUCACAAGCCAUGUGAAAAGCCUGCAGAGCUGAGGGUCUGUGAAGAGCCUGCAGACAGCCAGUCCUGUUCUGUCCUUCCCAAAAAAAUUUCAUUCUACUAUCUUGGAUCCCUACUCAAGUUCUGGGCCAUGCCACUGUUGGAAGGAUCAAGAACCAGAGCUGUUAGCACCCAGCAUUAACACUGGGUAGGAAUUCUCUUGGCUCUGCAGUAAGGUUUCCUGCCACCUCAUGUGCCCAGUUUUCUCUAUUGCUUUAGCAGAGGAUGGACAGACCCCGGCAGAGUGGAGCACCAUCACCUCCCAACACCAGUGACUCAGAGGGGGCAACUGUUCCCAUGGGCCUGAAACUCCACUUUUUAAUGGCAGGCACAUCUAAUAUCCCCUUCUAGCAAUGUGUGUGGAGACUCCUCCCUUGGCUGGAGACUCCCCCAAGGCUGAGCAGAAUAGAUUUGCCAGCAGUUGUUAGUAUGGGUGAGUAGCAUCAAUCUCUACUUAAUUGUUUUGCUAGCUUCAAUAUUGCUGUUUCAAUAUUACUUCAAUAAACAGUGCACUGCACUAGUAGUUAUAACUAUCUGUACUGUGUAGUAAAUCAUUCUGAUUAAUGUCUUUUAGUCUAAUCAUUAUAAUUAUCACCAUCAAUAAAAUAAAUAAUUUAUUUUAUUUAUAUAAA
Taeniopygia guttata (zebra finch) is the source of this 5377-nucleotide non-coding RNA. NCBI's taxonomy places the organism in Eukaryota, Metazoa, Chordata, Aves, Passeriformes, Estrildidae. The record is from RefSeq and is a predicted model, not a curated record.